This is a small nuclear RNA of Molossus molossus (Pallas's mastiff bat), 103 nucleotides long. The record is from RefSeq and is a predicted model, not a curated record. NCBI's taxonomy places the organism in Eukaryota, Metazoa, Chordata, Mammalia, Chiroptera, Molossidae.
GUGCUCGCUUCGGCAGCACGUAUACUAAAACUGGAAGGAUACAGAGAAGAUUAGCACGGCCCCUGCGCAAGGAUGACACGUUCAUGAAGCGUUCCAUAUUUUU